Molecule: long non-coding RNA, 2228 nt
Filed under: Solanum lycopersicum (tomato)
Lineage: Eukaryota; Viridiplantae; Streptophyta; Magnoliopsida; Solanales; Solanaceae
Description: long non-coding RNA (SLYC_LNC000531)
Source: RNAcentral
CCAAACAAAAGUUUAGUUGAUAAAAAACCCUUUCAAAAAACCUCUCUAAGAUAUAAUUUAAGUUAAAAAAUGGAGAAAUCCUGAAAUCAAGUAGGAUAUUAUAGAUAGCAUGGAAAAUCAAGAGACAAAGGUAUAUUGUUUAACAAUUAUGCAAAACUAAUUUCAUAUAUUCGUGAAAAUCAUAUAUUUGAUUGAUUAAAUUUAUGUUAGUUAUUAUAUACUACAAAAAUAUUUGAAUCAUGAAUUCUAGUUUGCUCAUAAACAGGAAACAGGGAGAAAACUGCUAGACUAUGUCAUCCCACAGUGGAAAUCAGUAGGCGAGGGAUGUCCUUAGGGGAGUACACAAGGUUGAGGCGCUGAUAAACAGUAAUUAUCCGCUAAAGUACGAUGCUAGUAGUGACCGAAAAACAUGAUAACGAUACUCUAGUUUAUAAUAAACUAAUAUGAAUUUAAUUGAAUUAUGAUAUGAUAGGAAGGAAUAAUUGAAAAAAAACCUGCAUAAAUAAAUAAACAUGAUUACAAUGUAUGAUGAAAUAAAAAACUAUAAAACUUUGAUCUCAUAUAUACUUAAAGAUAUAGAAAUUGUUGACAUAAAAAAAUUAUGUGGGAAAAAAUAUUUGAUCAUGAUAUAGAAGAUACAUUAAAUCAAGAAUGGUAUGAAAUAGAUUUACAAAAAAUAGAUAUAGAAAGAAUAGAUAUAUACGAUUUAGAAAUAAAUUCAGAUUAAAAUGAACUAUGACUAUUUAAAAUAUUGGAUAAAAACUAUGAAUAUAUAAGAUUAUUAAAACAAUUAAUGCAAGAAAAUUUAUACAUGUACAAAAGAACCCAAGAUAUGUUAUAUAUAGAAUAUAUAAUAAAUAAUAUUAAAGAAAUAUUUAUAUUAGAACAAUUAUCAAAAUAAAAUAUAUUUUACUCUAUAAAAUAUGUAUGUCGUUUCUCACCGAUUUUAUGCCCAUCCGUAAACAACAUGCACUUAUUUAUUACUAAUAAAGUAUGAAUCAUGGUCUAACUUUUUACUUGUAUUAACAGAAGAAUGACGGAUUAUGUGCAAAAUCAGAUUAAUACUAAAUAUAAGAUUAUGCCGCUACACAAUAAGCUGCCACAAAAGUUAAAUUAUAUAAAUACAAAACAAAAAUUUUGUUGCGACUCACAAGGCUGCCACAGAAGUUUCACCUUUAGUGGCGAUAAGGUUGCUGCAAAAGGGACUUUUGUAGCGACUCUUAACUGAUAUGAUCGUAAUAAAUAUCUUUUUUUUUCAAUUAUAUUUUAUUAGAAGAUUAAUUUAUAUUGGGGUCGACUUGUUAAUUGUCUCCACUAAAAAGGACACACUUAGUGGCGACUUUACUAGUCACCAGUAAAACUAUGAUCUUUUAUAGCAACCUUUUGAAGUGGUCACUGGAGCUCUCACUUUUGUGGCACCUCUACACGUUGUCACUAAAAGUUGUUGCAGAAAACCACAGUUCUUGUAGUGUGGGUUGUACUUCCAUGUCGAGGAAGACAAGAAAGAGUUAGCGAAAGAUAUAAGCACAAUUGCACGAUUGGGAGUCCAGUUAAUAUUUCCAACGAAGGUGGAGUCGGUUAAUGGAAUUCAUGUUUGGUUGACCUAAAUGUUUGAAUUUUUUUUUUCCAAAUCAACUCAUUUUUCUCAAAUUUAAUGAAAAUUAGAUUGAGUAGAAAGAUCUGAUAUCAAAAGUUAGAAUUACAAUUAUUGAAUUAUGGCAAAUAUUUUGUUUUAAUGUCACAUAAAUUUAGAAUUUAUAUUUAUUGUUAACUUGGGUUCAUGUGUCCUGUGUCAUAAUUUGAUUUAUGAUUAGUUUAAAAUAUUGUGUAUGAGUUAAACCUAGAUAUUUUUAAAGCAAAUUUUUAUUUUAUGUUCAAAAAAUACAUAUUUAUUAAUAUUAUAGAGUCUAAUAGAUAAUAAUUUUAAUUACAAUAUUCAAAUAAAUUAUAUAAACGACAUUAAAGAGCUACAAUGACUUAAAAUAAAAAAUAAAAUAUCAUACAAAUAGAUGCAUAUGAUUGGAUAACAUCUUUAAUUUUUUAAGAUACAAGUGCGUGAACACAUUGAUUUUAUAAAUGAGUCCUUUCAAAAUUAUUAUGAAACUGCUCUCACUUCCCAAUUAUUUUGCAUAUAGUGGCUUGGAAAUGGAACAUGUCGGUGACCAAAGGGGCCUGUCACUACCACUCCCGUUCAUGACACUAUCUUUAAAUAAUAAUAAUUGAUAUAG